AGAGGGGGACAACAGUUGGAAACGACUGCUAAUACCGCAUAAGCCCACGACCCGGCAUCGGGUAGAGGGAAAAGGAGCAAUCCGCUUUGAGAUGGCCUCGCGUCCGAUUAGCUAGUUGGUGAGGUAACGGCCCACCAAGGCGACGAUCGGUAGCCGGACUGAGAGGUUGAACGGCCACAUUGGGACUGAGACACGGCCCAGACUCCUACGGGAGGCAGCAGUGGGGAAUAUUGCACAAUGG
This 241-nucleotide ribosomal RNA is filed under the name Faecalibacterium prausnitzii. Its description in RNAcentral is "partial 16S ribosomal RNA". It matches the Rfam family "Bacterial small subunit ribosomal RNA", at positions 135 to 374 of the family's 1533-position model. Lineage: Bacteria; Bacillati; Bacillota; Clostridia; Eubacteriales; Oscillospiraceae. The record is from RNAcentral.